RNAcentral lists this ribosomal RNA (254 nucleotides) under uncultured bacterium. RNAcentral describes it as "partial 16S ribosomal RNA". It matches the Rfam family "Bacterial small subunit ribosomal RNA", at positions 524 to 777 of the family's 1533-position model. The record is from RNAcentral.
GACGAACUGUCCUAACGUUGUUCGGAAUCACUGGGCUUAAAGGGCGCGUAGGCGGUCCGACAAGUCAGGGGUGAAAUCCUGCAGCUUAACUGUAGAAGUGCCUUUGAUACUGUCGGUCUUGAGGGAAAUAGGGGUGUGCGGAACUUCCAGUGGAGCGGUGAAAUGCGUUGAUAUUGGAAGGAACGCCGGAGGCGAAAGCGGCGCACUGGAUUUCUUCUGACGCUGAGGCGCGAAAGCUAGGGGAGCAAACGGGG